Molecule: ribosomal RNA, 446 nt
Filed under: uncultured bacterium
Lineage: Bacteria
Description: partial 16S ribosomal RNA
Rfam family: Bacterial small subunit ribosomal RNA
Source: RNAcentral
UCCAGACUCCUACGGGAGGCAGCAGUGGGGGAUAUUGCACAAUGGGGGGAACCCUGAUGCAGCGACGCCGCGUGGGUGAAGGAGCGUUUCGGCGCGUAAAGCCCUCUCGGCAGGGAAGAAGGAGGACGGUACCUGACUAAGAAGCCCCGGCUAACUACGUGCCAGCAGCCGCGGUAAUACGUAGGGGGCAAGCGUUAUCCGGAUUCACUGGGUGUAAAGGGGGCGCAGACGGCAGCGCAAGCCAGGAGUGAAAGCCCGGGGCCCAACCCCGGGACUGCUCUUGGAACUGCGCGGCUGGAGUGCAGGAGGGGCAGGCGGAAUUCCUGGUGUAGCGGUGAAAUGCGUAGAUAUCAGGAGGAACACCGGUGGCGAAGGCGGCCUGCUGGACUGCGACUGACGUUGAGGCCCGAAAGCGUGGGGAGCAAACAGGAUUAGAUACCCCAGUA